Aedes albopictus (Asian tiger mosquito) is the source of this 6411-nucleotide long non-coding RNA. RefSeq lists it as uncharacterized. The transcript is spliced from 4 exons. Lineage: Eukaryota; Metazoa; Arthropoda; Insecta; Diptera; Culicidae. The record is from RefSeq and is a predicted model, not a curated record.
AUUUUAGUUCGCUUCGAACCUUUUCUUAGCUUGGAUUUCACCCAACUAAAUUAUUAGCUGCGUCGCGUCGGUCGGAUUCUUUGCUGUUUCAUUGUUGUCAUCGAGUGAGUUAUCGUGUACAUGGGAGCAAGAUUGGAAGUUCGAUUGGCGAGCUGGUCGAGCGCUUGCGACCAUUUCAGGACAGCUGUAUCAUCCGGAGGCGCCUCAGAAAAAUCAUCAGCGUACGGAUUAUGACAAGGAAGGCGCAUCCAAUUACCGAAUAGUGUUCCACCCGGCUUUUGCGUACUCAGGCGCAAUUUGUGAAAUUCGACGCUUUUCUUGGGGCGGAGAUCAUGGUUUCGGGAAUCCACCUGAUCCGGACACUAAAUGGCUACCGCCGUCACCGUCAACAAUCCGCUACUGCGUUAUUCCAGCUCCUUGUUCGUUUCGGUCUCUAGGACCACCACAAUCCUAGCCCUGACGGAAGUUACAGAAGUGGAUUGAUUUGUGGUACCGUGACAUCACUUAAUUCCAUCCACUUUUUUCGGUUCAUAAUUCCAUUCACGCCAUUAGUUUUGCAUGGUGUGAAUGGAAUUAGGAACCAAAAAAUGUAAUUGGAAUUGAGUGAUGUCUCGGUACACGAAAUGUAAGCCAAAUAGGAUAAAUAAUAACGUUUUCCUAAGAAUAAACGAAAGAUUGGCACGAAUAUUCAUUGUUUCAUUUUUACAUUAUUUUUUUUAUUAAAAAAAGAAUAAGAAGAAGAGGGAACGUUGGGGGAGCGUGAUCAUACAAAAUAAUUUCAACAAACUUUUUGUUAAAUUUGAACUACAGUGUUUGUUUGUCUGUAACUGAUUUUUGCUAGAUUGAAACUAAACAAUUUGGUUGAAAUAGCAAAUGUUCUAGUUUGUUUCGAGAGCUGUCAAAACACAACAACCAAAAUAAUGGUAAGUUUUAACAAAAUUUGGUUGACUUAAGCUACUGGACCCUCAAAACAGUUACAUAAUAACUUAGUUAGCUUUAACCAACGCCACCAGUUGAAAGAAACUAAGAUUUUGUUUGUGCAAAAAUCAACAUUGAAAUUAGGUUGGAUCUUGCUAACUUUUGUUUGCAUUUACCAAAUAUUUUUCUCCGUGAUCUUUUUUUUUCUUUGGAUUUCAGGCCGAACAUUUCAAUAGGUCCUAUCUGCAUUUGAGAGGCUCCAAGAGAGGCUCUCUUUAUUCACUUUUUCUUUCAAUUAUUGCAAUGUAAUGGUAAAUUUUUCAACUACUUUUGCAGUACAAAUCAAAAGACGAUUGAUUUGACCAUCAUUCUAUGCAAGGAGAUAAUCAUAAUUCAAAUGAACAGCUGAGAUAUUAACGAAAGAGAGGGAAACCAAAGAGAGCCUCUCUUCUGCAGAUAGGACCUUUAGACAUGUUUGGCCUGAUUUGUGUGUGUUCGACUGGCUGAAGACCAUUCCAAAGAGUUCCAAAGUGUUGAGGGACUUGGCUUCGAAGACUCAUGAAGGUCGAUCCCGAGACACUGCCACCCACAGGAAGCUCUCGUAGGGGGCACAUAUAAUCCGAGAGGAAAUUCCCCUUGCUCCUAAAGGACUAAACCACGGACCACGUAGGUUGAACCACUAUCGGUGUGAUUUGUGGUACCCAAGAUGGUACCAUGCUGGAAAGCAUCCGACAGUAAUCAUAUGAAAGUUCUGCCGUGGACAAAUUGGUUGGCGAUGGAUCCGGAACGUCCUACAAGGGCUCACUCCCAUGUUAUAAUUAGCGAAGUAAAAUAAUCGAGCACAUUAUGAAAAUGUAUUGGGGUUUGUAGUAUUCACCUCCGCGCCCGUCUGUCACUGACUAAUCUCCUCUCUCUCUACCUUUCGCUACCUGUCAAUGUAUCAAUCAAGGUCUUCUAUAUAAGGUAGGAACAUCUGGUAUCUUUACCAGUAUUGGUGUUGUAUAAUUUAGUAUGACGUAACAUGCCAGAAAGUCGGGACGGUUCGUGUUAAUACACUACAAUCCCCCCUCGACAAUAAAUAAAGUGCUCGUUACUAUAGCCGAAUAUUAAUACAUAAAUCUAGGCCAAAAGCGCCGUACAACAUGUUAGAGUAACUCAUUUAUACCGAAGAAAAGUUGCAAUUAUUUCGAGUCCCAUAUGAUUGAUUACAUAUUCUUAAAUCACUUCAGAGCAGUUAAAAUCUGAAUAAUCUAACGUAUACGAUCAUCCAAGAAGCAUGUGAUUCGUUUAACAACAAGUCCAACCUAUCCUCCUCAUUAUCUCGAUCAUUAAACAACGUAAACAUGUUACAGUUAUUUUACGUCUACUGUACGUUGAUUCUGCCAUAAUCUCCCUUACUUUUUUAUUUUAGUUUUUUUUUUUUGUUUAGAGACGUCUGUAGCUAUCUAUGCAGUAACUAUAUUCUUCAUACCACUUCAAAUUCCUUCUCUUCCUCUAAAUGUAACGUGUGAUAUAACCAAACUUAGCCUAAACAGCUAAGCCAUUCCAAUUCAAAACAUUAGUUCAUGUUACGUUGCAACUACAUGAAUCCGUUUUUUUUUACAUUUAUCGAGUUUCAUUGCUCCGUGUAAUUAUUAUUUUUAACAUCGGAGACAUCAAUACUAUUGUAACGAGCUCAAUCCACAUACGCUUACGCCAAAUUAACUCUAUCUCUAUCAUCGAAACAUCUCGCAGUUUACAUACAUGUGGAUCAGCUGUUCAUUCGGAAAAAGGGAAUUUCGUCUUGUCUAAAGUAGAUAUAUGUUGAAAUUCAUUUAUAUUUCAAACAUAUUAAACAUGUUGCCUUGCUUUUCUUUAUCUGAAGAAUAUAACAGUUAUUUUUUCCGGUUAUUCGUUACAGCGCUUGCCGGCAAAACAUGAUCAGAAUUGCGCUUCACAAGUACUUCCAUACUUAGGAUUGACACCUUAUAAUCAAUCUCACAGUGACGGCCUCCAAAUAAUUCAUUGAAACACUCUUUGAAUUCAAACUUUCUAAAUUAGUAAUCGGAUGCUAUAUUGAAGCUUGUCUCCAGUGUACGGGAAAACGAGAACAGCGUUUCCCAAGAAAGAUUAUUCCAGUCGAUAGUUACUGAAAUUAUCAAGAAUGUGACCAGAAUCAACGCAACCACAGCAUCAGAUAUUCAAAUCCAUGCUGAUUUUUCGUUUAACUUAUGAUUAGUUUGUGAAUUAGUUAAAUAGGCCGUAAAGUUUUCAAAGUAUAAUUCACCUCUGUGGGUCACAUACCUAUAAUACACUCACUCAACCUUUCGGUUGUUAUGCGGUCAGCAGCAACACGUUAGAGCUGCGUUUAAUACUUUGAUUUUUUUUUUAUUGAGUAGUACAAAACACAACAGUAGGACAACCAAAAGUGUAUUCUGUGAUUCUCGACAUUUUCACUCAGAACUAAAUGAAUCAAUUCAUUAGUUGAUGCUUUUGCUUCUUUUGAAAUCCUGACUCUCACUAGAACCCGACCUGUCUUUCUUCAACCCCGUUCUCUUUGUGCACUAUCAGAGUUAUUAAUUGAAGUGCCUCCUCCCACCUGCCAUUGCGUGAAAUUGUAUAUUGUGUUGUAAGCACAAUGAAGCCGGAAAUCUUUUUUUUUCGACCGGAACGGGAAUGUAACCUGCAGUCUCCAAUUUGACAAAACGAAUGAGGCGAGCAUGUAUGACAAUAAGGUAUGUUGACCGUCACGAUUCUCAACUCUCAACUCUCCAUAUCAGUUGGGACACUGAUCCAUCCUGUUCAUCUUCAUCUCUCACUAUUUCACACAACUCAACUGACUCCAUUCUUCUGGAUAUUUUCUUUUAUUUCAUCCUUUUCAAAUCAGCUAUGCAUAUGAAUCACCGUUCAGCAAUUCAACCGAAUUCUCACCACAUGAUUAUUAGCUACUCCAUGUUGCAAAGCUACACAGACAUCAUGUGCAGGCCGUCAUCUCAUAAUCCACUUCCCUUAGACUCAUCAACGAUCCAAUCUUAGCACUAUCGUUCAUUGCCUCUAUCUUUUCUCGAAUUGGGCAGCUUUUUUCAGCUUCAGUAACACGAAUACUUAGUAUUUUCGUAAACACGAACAAUUAGUAUUUUCGUAAAUAUAAAUUAAUCACAAACGUACAACUCCUUGCUAAUUCCCAAAAAUGCAGUGAAUCCUUACUUCGAUUCGUUUUCUUAAUGGCGUGAUGGUCCUAAUGGGACCAAACUAGUUUCUCAGUUCAGUGUAACAUGAACAUUGCGACUAUUAUGCUGUUGCUUGAAAUCCAAAGUGAACUGGGGAGCGAAAAUUGAGUUUUUACUCACUUUAAUGUGUCACUACUCGAUUCGGAUGAGUGCAUGUAGUAGCUCUUACCUAGCUGAAUGAUGCGCAAUGCUAACCAUUUGUUCAAAUUUACUUCGCAUCUAUAACUUCACAUGUCGCGCGAGUCACGACUUCGAUUUAGUGCUGCGACGAUAAUAUAUUCUCAGAGACCUCUCUUCGCCAAAUCACAUUUUUUUUUGCAUUCUCCCAUCGUGUAACAUGCCACAUUAUUGUGUGAUGGAUACACUUUACGUUCAAGAAUGUCAAGUAAAAUUCCAUAUUAAAAGUUACUUGAAUAUUCUGCAAUAAACCCCAGGCACUCUCAGUGUAGUUAAAUACUCCAGCGUUUACCACAUCGACUGUAUGGAUCCUCCAGUAUCACCACGAUUAUCUUAACUGGAACAUUCUUCUUUUUAUUUUUUUUUUUUCGAAUUUUGACUGUUGGUUAUAUAGUGACCGAAACGUGGGAUGAAAUCUUAAGAAUCCGUUUUUGAGUAUCCUGUAUCUUUGCCACCCAAUGACGUUCCUUGUAUUUACGUAGCUUAUAAGCUUAUAAGCUUACGCUUCUACAUGCCCAUGGCAAAUUCUUUACACUUACUGAAUCCUCGCGAUUCUUGCAGAAGAUCCUUCCGCCCUCCGUAACAUGGUGAAUCCUUAAGAUUUUCGUCACUGGAAAAUCCUUCCGGUCUUCGCAAACUUAAGAUAUUUCAAGAUUCUUAACGAGGAGGCUCAUCAAGUUUCUCACAAAUGGAAGGUCCUUUAUAUCUUAGCAACCUUGAAACACUGAGGAUCCCCGAAACACUCGCCACUGAAAGAUCCAUUCGAUUUUCGCAACACAAGAAAAUCCUCCUGAUUUUCUUAACACGUAGAAUCGCUAGGAUACAUGCGAUUGGAAGAUCCUUCCGAUUUUCACUACCCGGGUAUCUUCCAGAUUUCCUGAAUUCAGAGAAUCCUUGUGAUUCUCGCAACAGGAAGACCCUUCCGAUCUGCGCAACUUAAGAAAAUCCUCCUGAUUUUGUGAACACGAAGAAUCCUCACAAUUCUUGCAACUGAAAGAUCCUUUCAAACUUCGUAACCCAAGAAAAUCCUCCAGAUUUUCUGAACACGGAGAAUCUAAAUAAUUCUCACAACUGGAAGAUCCUUUUGAUCUUCGAAACCCAAGAAAAUCCUCCUGGUAUUCUAAACACGAAGAAUCCUUACGAUUCUCGCCACUGGAAGAUUCUUAUGAUCUUCGAAACCCAAGAAAAUCCUCCUGAUUUUCUGAACACGGAGAAUCCUUACGAUUCUCGCAACUGGAAGAUCUUUCCGAUCUUCGCGACCCAAGAAAAUCCUCCUGAUUUUCUGAACACGGAGAAUCCUUACGACUCUCGCUACUGGAAGAUCCUUCCGAUCUUCGCAAUCCGAGAAAAUCCUCCUGAUUUUCUGAACACGGAGAAUCCUUACGAUUCUCGCUACUGGAAGAUCCUUCCGAUCUUCGCAAUCCGAGAAAAUCCUCCUGAUUUUCUGAACACGGAGAAUCCUUACGAUUCUCGCUACUGGAAGAUCCUUCCGAUCUUCGCAAUCCGAGAAAAUCCUCCUGAUUUUCUACAGGCGGAGAAUCCUUACGAUUCUCGCAACUCCGAUAUAAUCAAAAGAUGCGCAGCAAUAAGACGCUCAAAAGGUACCGUUGCGCACACUUGACCACUUCUCCCUUUUCAUUCAAAUGCAUGCAAUCUUCCCUUCCUUGCAUGCAAGUCACACAAUGAGUAAAAAUAAACACUUUACUGGGUAACUUCCGCUCAUCGUGCAAAUCACGAGCAUCAAAAUAAACAUUUCUCCACCGGCUACCGAAAACCGUCCAUUCUUGGUCAAAUCCAAAUCAUGCAAAUGGAUUCCUUACCUGGCCGUUCCUCCACUUGAUCCAGAAACUGUUCAUUAAGAAGAAAAACAACAACAACCCACCGUGCUGUUUAGAAUCCAUCCUCGUUCGCCAGUUGUAGUAUUCACCUCCGCGCCCGUCUGUCACUGACUAAUCUCCUCUCUCUCUACCUUUCGCUACCUGUCAAUGUAUCAAUCAAGGUCUUCUAUAUAAGGUAGGAACAUCUGGUAUCUUUACCAGUAUUGGUGUUGUAUAAUUUAGUAUGACGUAACAUGCCAGAAAGUCGGGACGGUUCGUGUUAAUACACU